Long non-coding RNA from Felis catus (domestic cat), 348 nucleotides. RefSeq lists it as uncharacterized. The transcript is spliced from 3 exons. The record is from RefSeq and is a predicted model, not a curated record. Lineage: Eukaryota; Metazoa; Chordata; Mammalia; Carnivora; Felidae.
UCUUAGAACCCUGCCUACUGCAGGUUUCAAUAAUAAGAUUCUUUUCUUCUCACAAGAAGGAUUUGGAAGACGUGUGUUCCGGAACUGCUGCAAGCUUGAGAAGCUUGUCUCAUACCUGGAAUGAAGCCCUAAGGAAUGCUGAGCCCGGGUGACAUUUCUGUUUCUUCUAGUACAUGGCAACGACAAUGUCCUUUCUUCAGAAACGUACUGGGAAGUUCAAUAUAGAAGAUACCUAAGUGGCAUUACUCUGGCUGAAGUAAGAUUGAGGAUUGCAGAGUCCUGCUUCCCCAGCCUGCCUCUGCCCCUCCGCCCGCCCCCACCAACAAGCCUCUCAAACUCGGCGAAGAU